Cervus elaphus (red deer) is the source of this 2390-nucleotide long non-coding RNA. RefSeq lists it as uncharacterized. Lineage: Eukaryota; Metazoa; Chordata; Mammalia; Artiodactyla; Cervidae. The transcript is spliced from 4 exons. The record is from RefSeq and is a predicted model, not a curated record.
GAUCUCCUUGCAGUCCAAGGGACUCUCAAGCGUCUUGUCUAGCCCCACGGUUCAAAAGCAUCAAUUCUUCAGCACUCAGCCUUCUUUAUGGUCCACCUCUCACAUCCGUAUGUGACUAAUAGAAAAAAUAUCAGAAGAAUUCCCCCAAAGCAGCCCAGUAUGUGCACACAUAUACCACGAAGCAUUGUAACCAAGCAGUCACUUCCUUGGCCCUGACAUAGAAUCAGAUGCACUGGAUUUGCUGUGGGGGAAGGUCUGGUUGAAAAAAAACAUUGCAGGACUUGUCUUUUAUUGCGUUUUGUGCUCAAGGGGGCUUCCCUGGUGGCUCAGAGGAUAAAGCUUCUGCCUGCAAUGGGGGAGACCGGGGUUUGAUCCCUGGUUUGGGAAGAUCCCCCGGACAAGGGCAUGGCAACCCACUCCAGUAUUCUUGCCUGGAGAAUCCCAUGGACGGAGGAGCCUGGCGGGCUACAGUCCACGGGGUCGCAAAGAAUCAGACGCAACUGAGCGACUUCCCUCUCACUCUCUUUAUGCUCAAGGGACUUUGAGGACUAGGCUGCCUUCGGCAUCCUUGUCAGCUGUCCCCUGGACCUGGCGACACACCCGCUGUGUGUUGCCUGGAAUGGCUCUCGUGGGUGGAGAGUCCGCACCCUCCGUGAGGACUCCCUCAGUAGCAGCUGUGAGAAGAACUGAGGAGCGAGAGCGUCUGCCCGGACGUUCGCAGAGCGGUCGUCGCCGCCGGCGUUGGUCCCCAGGUGUGGGGCCCGCCGACGGAGGAAGACCGCAUUUUCCUUCCGAGAACAUCGAUCGCCAUAAACGCGCCCUACUUUACGGGGCGCUCAGACCCGAACGCCACGUCCACCGGAGAUUCAGACGGUCCGAUGGAAAUUGCACUGGUGAUUUAAACGCAGGCGAAUGAAAGCUUUAAGGGCGUCAGUGGGAGAUGGUACAAGCCUGUCCCAGGAUGUAGGUGACUUUACGGCUUACCCAGUCUCCUAAGAGAGCACCCAGGCUCUGUUGCUCCACAGCAUGUGGGGUCUUCCCGGACCAGGAAUCGGACCUGCGUCCAUUGCGCUGGCAGGCGGAUUCUUCACCACUGGGCCCCCACCGGGGGCCGGCCCACGAGCACACUCUUCAGGACCCGACUUGGAAUUCUUGACUGUGACGGCCACUCUUCACACGAGGUGCUCCGGGCUCCGAACACCCCAUGUCUGCUCCGUACCUCGGAACAGAGUACUCCCCUGGGUUCUGAGCAUCUCGAGACCGUAAUGUGAGAAAGAUGCCUUCCUUUCGUGACGCUGUCUUUCUACCAGCAUUAUAUUCGCUCGAUAACCUCCAGCUAGGCUUUGAUUAGAUGCACCACUGAGUCUGUUGGACGUGAGUUUGAGCAAACUCUGGGAGGUAGUGAAGGACAGGGGAGGAAGCCUCGUGUGCUGCAGGCCACGGGGUCACAAAGAGACGGACACGACUGAGCAACAGAUCAGAUUUAAGGAUGGUUAGACCUGCUUGGGUUGGUCUGAUUUAGCCUUUAAUAUAGUUCUUCAAUUUGGGGGGAAUUUUCAGCUGUUAACGGGUGCAGAUAGUCUCUCUUUCCUCCUCUUCCAUUCUAUUUCUUCUGUCUGGGGCGUUCGUUGGAUUCUUGCUACAGUUUUACAACAUAACCUUCUGGGUAUCUUUCAAAAGGCUCUUUGGAGGAGCACCAUUUUCCAUUGUAUUUCUGGUUUGCCAGUUCUCUAAGUAAUGAGCACUCUAUAAUUAAUCUCACAUGUUGAAUUAUUUAUCACAAUUUUUAUUAAAAAAAUUUUUUUUUGCCUACCCCAAGGCUUGCAGAAUCUUAGUUCCCCAACCAGGUAUUGAACCCAAGCCAUAACAGUGAAGGGUCAGAGUCCUAACCACUGGGUUGCCACAGAACUCCCCUAACAAGUGCUUUUAAAAAGAAUGAGAAGUAGAGAAGAAGGCUCACCUGUCCUGUUUUUCUGGAUUCCACAAAUGCAUGUUGAUCCAUGACUGUCUUUCCGUUUGUGACUUACUUCACUCUGUAUGACAGACUUUAGGUCCGUCCACAUCGCUACACAUUACUCAGUUGCAUCCCUUUUCAGGGCCGAGUAAUAUUCCAUCGUAUAAACCCACCACAUCUUUUUCACCUCUUCCUCUGUCGAUGGACGCUUGGGUUGCGUCCAUGUCUUGACUGUCAUAAAUUGUGAACCUUGGGGUAAAUGUGUUUUGGUGAGGUGUGGUUUUCUCAGGGUUAUAUGCCCUGGAGUGGGAUGGCUGGCUCAUAUGGUAGAUCUCCUCCCAUUAAGGGCUUCCCUGGUGGCUUAGUUGGUAAAGAAUGCGGCUGCAAUGCAGGAGACCCCUGGUUUGAUUCCUGGGUUGGGAAGAUCCCCUGGAGA